Non-coding RNA from Odocoileus virginianus texanus, 1401 nucleotides. The record is from RefSeq and is a predicted model, not a curated record. Lineage: Eukaryota; Metazoa; Chordata; Mammalia; Artiodactyla; Cervidae.
UCUAAGGCAUUCUAGGGCAAAGGCAAGAAGUGGGAGUUUGGGGUCCAGAGGGUGGAGGUUCACAUUUCAGACCAGGGGGAGGGUGUACCACAUACCGGAAGGGUACUGGGGGUUGAGAGCAGGGGCAAGGAGGUGGCAGAGAGAGCCAGUGGGGAAGGGCUUUGGGAAAGGGGGCCUUCAGGACUGCGGUGUGGGCUACCCAAGACCUUGAUCAGUCCAUGGGGUUCUGGAAUGGAGAGCAUCUCGUUUAGAGCCUGGAGAUGAAUGGGAAAGAUCAGAGGUGCACAACAGGUGAGGUUGAGGAACCCAGCCGUGAGCCACAGAGAAUCCGGAAUUGGCUUUAAGGGGUCUUGGAAGUGGACCUGAAAACUCCCAGAAGCAGGACCACCCAGGAUGCCCGGAAGGGAGCCUCGCGUAUCCCGGAAGCAGGAGUUCGCGCCCCUACAGUCCGGCACUUACCACGCUGAAUCAGGGGUCCGCCGAUCGAUCUUAGACCAAGCCCGAGCACACACACCCCCGCCCCCUAUUUAGAGCGCCGGACUGGAGCCUCCCACUUGCAUAUGUCCAGUCCCAGUGCUGUGAGUCCACGACUUGCCUGAUGCGCUUCCGGAGCUCCCGUCGCCUCCGACUAUCCAACAUCCAGGAACCCCAAUUUCUGUCUCUCGGGUUCCUCGCAGGAGGAAAGAAGAUCAGCUUAGAGUUCAGCCCACGCGCGUGGGAGCCGGAGCGAAUCUCAGCCCCACUACUCGGGGGAGGCAAGGGACUGCUUUGGGGUCCGGUAGACCCACCAAAACCACCCACGGAAGAUGCGGCUGCAGGGGCUGAGUUGGCGUGGAGGUGCUACAGCGGGUCGGAUUCAAGUAAAUCAGAGGGGCUUCCGUUGGGGGGGAAAUUGAGUGGAUAAAGCGGAGAAUAUAGAGACCAGGCUCAAAUUGGGAGGCCAGAAUGGGCACAGACAAGCCAACUGAAACACGGAACUCUCGUUUUAUUCAGCUCUGGACGUUAAUAUUCUUUGUCCCUGCUGGGGCCGGUGUGCACGUGGGUCCAGCCCAGUCACAGCACGGGGAGAGCCCAGGAGGUGGAGUUAGGGGGUCUUGAAACUUGAGGUCACGGCCCCAAUACAUAGAUGGGUAAACUGAAGCCAGGGGAUGAGCAGAGAUGUGCCCAGCAUCACCCAGCGAGCUGGGUACUGCUCUGGCCUUGCCGCAGGCUGGGGUCCUGGAGACGUAGCGGGACUCUGGCCUCGCGCCGCCGGCGGCGCCCGUAGCUGUGGGGAUCCUGAGGCUUGCGGCCAGCUUUCCCUGAGGGCUCCUUGGUGGAGGCAGACCGGAGCCAGUAUAUGAUCUCUGGCAGGCGGUGGGUCUGGCACGUGCCCAGGGAACAGAGGCGCCCGCGCUGCUG